RNAcentral lists this ribosomal RNA (578 nucleotides) under Saccharomyces cerevisiae (brewer's yeast). RNAcentral describes it as "eukaryotic LSU rRNA". It matches the Rfam family "Eukaryotic large subunit ribosomal RNA", at positions 65 to 659 of the family's 3401-position model. The record is from RNAcentral. Lineage: Eukaryota; Fungi; Ascomycota; Saccharomycetes; Saccharomycetales; Saccharomycetaceae.
GCAACGGUGGAUGCUUAGUACGGCGAGUGAAGCGGCAAAAGCUCAAAUUUGAAAUCUGGUACCUUCGGUGCCCGAGUUGUAAUUUGGAGAGGGCAACUUUGGGGCCGUUCCUUGUCUAUGUUCCUUGGAACAGGACGUCAUAGAGGGUGAGAAUCCCGUGUGGCGAGGAGUGCGGUUCUUUGUAAAGUGCCUUCGAAGAGUCGAGUUGUUUGGGAAUGCAGCUCUAAGUGGGUGGUAAAUUCCAUCUAAAGCUAAAUAUUGGCGAGAGACCGAUAGCGAACAAGUACAGUGAUGGAAAGAUGAAAAGAACUUUGAAAAGAGAGUGAAAAAGUACGUGAAAUUGUUGAAAGGGAAGGGCAUUUGAUCAGACAUGGUGUUUUGUGCCCUCUGCUCCUUGUGGGUAGGGGAAUCUCGCAUUUCACUGGGCCAGCAUCAGUUUUGGUGGCAGGAUAAAUCCAUAGGAAUGUAGCUUGCCUCGGUAAGUAUUAUAGCCUGUGGGAAUACUGCCAGCUGGGACUGAGGACUGCGACGUAAGUCAAGGAUGCUGGCAUAAUGGUUAUAUGCCGCCCGUCUUAAAA